Molecule: long non-coding RNA, 169 nt
Filed under: Homo sapiens (human)
Lineage: Eukaryota; Metazoa; Chordata; Mammalia; Primates; Hominidae
Description: novel transcript
Source: RNAcentral
ACUCCAUGGCCAUGGUGGCCAGUGACUUCUCCCUCCUGGAGACCGUGGAGGCCCCUCUGAGGGUCAACAUCACCUCGCUGUGGCCCACCCCCGAGGGCAACCUGGAGAUCAUUCUGCACAGAUGGUCGCGGGACAAGAAAGAUCUCUGUGUUGGACACAGACUAGACGA